RNAcentral lists this transfer RNA (71 nucleotides) under Humisphaera borealis. RNAcentral's name for it is "tRNA-Gly". It matches the Rfam family "tRNA". Rfam says of the family: Transfer RNA (tRNA) molecules are approximately 80 nucleotides in length. Their secondary structure includes four short double-helical elements and three loops (D, anti-codon, and T loops). Lineage: Bacteria; Pseudomonadati; Planctomycetota; Phycisphaerae; Tepidisphaerales; Tepidisphaeraceae. The record is from RNAcentral.
GCGCGAUUGGUGAAGUGGUAUCACCCGGCCAUGCCAACGCUGGGUCGCAGGUUCGAUUCCUGCAUCGCGCA